GGUUCAUUCAAAUUUCUGCCCUAUCAACUUUCGACGGCUGGGUCUUGGCCAGCCGUGGUGACAACGGGUAACGGAGGAUUAGAGUUCGAUCCCGGAGACGGAGCCUGAGAAACGGCUACUACAUCCAAGGAAGGCAGCAGGCGCGCAAAUUACCCAAUCCCGACCGGGGAGGUAGUGACAAUAAAUACUGGUACAGGGCUCUUUUGGGUCUUGUAAUUGGAAUGAGUACAAUUUAAAUCCCUUAACGAGGAACAAUUGGAGGGCAAGUCUGGUGCCAGCAGCCGCGGUAAUUCCAGCUCCAAUAGCGUAUAUUAAAGUUGUUGAGGUUAAAAAGCUCGUAGUUG
RNAcentral lists this ribosomal RNA (344 nucleotides) under uncultured fungus. RNAcentral's name for it is "SSU rRNA". It matches the Rfam family "Eukaryotic small subunit ribosomal RNA", at positions 292 to 636 of the family's 1831-position model. The record is from RNAcentral. Lineage: Eukaryota; Fungi.